AAAGUCGUAACAAGGUUUCCGUAGGUGAACCUGCGGAAGGAUCAUUAAAGAGUAUAGUGACUUCGGUCUACUACUCCACCCUUUGUUUACAAUACCAUUGUUGCUUUGGCAGGCCCGUCUUUUGACAACCGGCUUCGGCUGGUCAGUGCCUGCCAGAGGACCUAAAACUCAUGUUUAUAUUAUUGUCUGAGUACUAUAUAAUAGUUAAAACUUUCAACAACGGAUCUCUUGGUUCUG
This 237-nucleotide unclassified non-coding RNA is filed under the name Ascomycota sp. RNAcentral describes it as "partial contains small subunit ribosomal RNA, internal transcribed spacer 1, and 5.8S ribosomal RNA". The stretch from base 1 to 47 matches the Rfam family "Eukaryotic small subunit ribosomal RNA", at positions 1785 to 1831 of the family's 1831-position model. The record is from RNAcentral. Lineage: Eukaryota; Fungi; Ascomycota.